RNAcentral lists this long non-coding RNA (1391 nucleotides) under Parus major (Great Tit). Its description in RNAcentral is "lncRNA (ENSPMJG00000014530.1)". The record is from RNAcentral. Lineage: Eukaryota; Metazoa; Chordata; Aves; Passeriformes; Paridae.
GUUGCCUCAAUCAAGCAUUUGUAGCAUCACGGUUCGUUACUGCAUAAGUGGGUUUGAUGUCACAGAAUCAUUGUUUUCUUCCUGUGCCUGGAGCUGAGAAGGAACAGACUGAUUAGGAGGGAAGUUGCUUCUGUGAUGCACAGGCACAGGUGAGGACCCAGACAUCAGAAGUGAACAACGAAGUGAAUAGACAAAAAUAAAUAAUUUUAAAUAGAAUUGUUCAAAGAGGCAAUUUAAAGGCGAUGACUGAAAAAAAAAUACUCAAAUGUGAUGUUAUAUGAAAGAUAAAAGGCAAUUUGUGCACCUAGGAUAUAUUUGUCCUAAAGAGAUGAAGUAGGAUUUAGAGUAUUUAUACCCAACUUAGUUGACAACUUCACUACAGAAUAUUUUGUUGACUUAUAGAGAUAUAUGCAAAGAGAUUGAAUUUCAGUGCAGAGGAAAUGCAAACACAAAUCCAAGAGUUAACAUGUAAGAAAUCAUAGCACAGGUCUCAAAACCACCUGGUGUUUUCAGAGGUCCCUCCCUGCUAAUCCUUGUCCACCUCCCCACUGGGUUGGUGCAGGGGCUUGUUGAGUUCCACCAUAACCAUACCAUUCCAUUCCCAGCUAGAAUGUGACUACUAAUGCAAAUAUUACUUUUUCAGAACCCUGUGAGAAUUAUAUUAUUAUCAGAGUUAAAUGUCCAAAUAUUAACUUUGAAAAUGUCAGAAGAUACACAUGGUGACUAUGAUUUAAUGAUCCUGAGAAGCCAUAACAUAUUUUGAAGGUUAAAACUUUGGUUUAAUUAAUGCCAGCUCUUACUGAAUGUGCACUAAUUUUUUUUUAACAGCAUUGCCUGAAAUUUUGCCAGAAUUGUUGUCAAAUGACAGUGAUUUUUAAUUUUUAAAUAGUUUCUUUUCACAUUCAUUAUUUUAUUUUUCCUUUCAAGAAGGUUGAUUUCCAUGGAAAACAAAACAAAAAACCCCAAGCCAAACCAAAGAGAUGGAAUCAUGAUGGCUCUUGCUGUGACCUGCAAUUCUCCUGCACAUGUUAGCAACUGCAGUGUGACCCAGGAGCUGCACUCCCCGUCACUGGUAUGUGACUGCACUUUAAAAACUGGAAUAUAUUUAGGCUUGCCUUCAGACCCACAGCUGCUGCUUUCACAGAAGUCUUCCUGAGACCACAAUGAAAAGUUCCCAUCACUGUUUAGCAUCACCAAGUUGUUUGUAACUACCAGGCACUGCUUUGUUUAAAAUGUGUGGAAAUGAUGUAUUCAUCAUUUAUGGCUUACUGGAAGAAAGUAACAGAAAAAGGAAUUAAGAACUAAGAGAAGAGCAAAAGGAAAGAGAGAGAGUAAGAUGAGAAAGGGGAGAGAUGAAAGUUUGUUUGGAAUAAAUACAGGUGUGCUGUUCA